GCUGAAGCAUUGUAGGUCUCCCUGAAGGCAGUGUUCCUUCUCUCUUCUGCUGUAGCUGCACUUCUGCACCAGACAUUGCCGCUUGCUACCAGCUGCAGUUGCUGUCCGUCAGCCUGAGGGAAGGAGGCUGUUUCUCAUUCUGUGCCAUCUCUGGUAGCUCUGCUGCAUUUGAGUCCUCUUAAAUAUAGAGCAAGCUCAAAACCAACAUGUUUUGCUGUGGUCAGUUGAACGUUCCUGAGGAAGUUUGUUCCAUCAUCAGUGUAACAUCCUCAAGAGAGCUGUCCCUAGCCUUUUUGCCUUCAGGUGAACUUAAAUGAAAGACGGAAAUAGGAAAGAAGGAAAUCCUCUACUCAAAUGCACAUGCUUCAACAUUGGGCCCUGUGGCUGACAGUGGAGAGCCCAGUUCUGCCAGAGUGCUGGAGACCCUCUGCUCCAUGUCCAAGGAAGAGUGGAGGACAGGCAACAUCACGCUGUGUACAGAAGCAGACAAAGCAGCACCUUCUUGCUCCAGCCUGUGUGUCAGAGCCAUCCACCUCAUGUGAACACCUACUGGGAAAUUCAGACCACCUGGGGAGGUAGCAAGCAAGGAGGUAUGUGUGUGGGGUUAGAGGUUCAUGAUCUAUGUCUGGCCAGCUGAACACAUCAGCAUGUCUCAAAACCUCUAGGGGUCGAAGGGAUGCUUCAGCAUCCUUCCAAAGAAAGAGCUGUGGAUGUCAUUUUGUCAGUGCCAUGAAAUUUUCUCAUUUCCCACAGGGAGUAGGGAAGAAACCAGAUCACCUCUGGGAUUAAUUGAUAUGCUUUGUAUUUGCUGUUGGUUAUUUUUCUCCUAAAGUUCUUCAGCUUUCAUCAAUAUCUAAUUGAUUUAUGUUAUAGAAAGCUAUGCAUGUUCAUCUGUGAA
Molecule: long non-coding RNA, 898 nt
Organism: Lagopus muta (rock ptarmigan)
Lineage: Eukaryota; Metazoa; Chordata; Aves; Galliformes; Phasianidae
Exons: 5
Source: RefSeq, a predicted model, not a curated record